This 1229-nucleotide long non-coding RNA is filed under the name Ananas comosus (pineapple). RNAcentral describes it as "long non-coding RNA (ACOM_LNC002717)". Lineage: Eukaryota; Viridiplantae; Streptophyta; Magnoliopsida; Poales; Bromeliaceae. The record is from RNAcentral.
UAUAUAUAUAUAUAGAGAGAGAGAGAAAAUUGAGCUUUUAUGCUAUUAAAAGUAUCAAUUCAUUUGUGUUUGUAGAUUUUCGGUCCUUAAAUUAAGAAAUGUGCAGUUAGAAUGAUAAUAGUCCUCUAAAAUUAAGUGGGUGGUUGGUUGAAUAGUAUGAUCUAAUGAGUAGAAAUGAUCAAAGGAUAAAUCUAACAGUAAAAAAUUUACAAGUAUUAAGUGCUUGAUGUUUUUAAAAACACCACAACCGCACUCUCUCUCUUUCUAUAUUGGAAAAGGUUUUAUAAAAAUUAUAGAGAAUUAGAGAGCAUAAAGCAUCGAUCAGAAGGUAGUGUGAGAUUAUAAACCUUCUAUUUCUCUUUUACUAUGAAUAUUUUGGCUUUGUAUGUUGAGACUUAAUUAUAACAGAUAUGAAUCAUGAUCAGGAUAAUAAUUUCUCUGAAUUUGAUAAUGUAUAUAAUUGUACAGAAUAAUAAGAUCAUUUCUGUUAGAUGUGACUCGAAAUCUACUAUCGAUUCAGGUUCGAGUUUACGACUCGCCGACAGCUUCGCGGUGCGACCAAUUUGGAAAAGAAAAUUAUGGAGGAAAAAUGAAUGUCUGUGAUGGGUAGCGGAGGGCUCGGGCCGACAGGCCCGAGCCCGUAGCCCACCACUGACAUUCGCCAGGGGGUGCGGGGGCGGAGCCCCCCGCGGUACGGGUCGGAUCCGAAACCCGUUAUGAGUCUUUUCUUUUCGUUUAUCGUUUAUGCCCUAGAGGCGUGUGAUCGUGGUUGGUCGUAACCUGAAGAACAUUGUAUUCUCUUUUUCAUUCCAUAGUGAAGACCUCUCCUCCCUCGCCCGUGGUUUUUUCCCUGCAAAGGGUUUUCCACGUAAAUCUGUGUCUCUUUAUUUUUCUGCUUGUGGUUUGAUUGUAUUUUGUGUUCGUCAUUUUCGUUUCCGUUUGUGCGUUUGUCGUAACACUCGUAAUGAGAUCAUUAAUACUGUAUUCAGACCGAUCAUCCCUAGUGCAAGUAGCAAAGAGUUUGGUGGUUGAUACCCGAGGUCCUAAGUUCGAAGCUUUUUUUUUUUUUGAGAGAGAUAGGUAGCACGCUACCCGCUUCGUUUAUUUCAUUUAGAAAUAAACUUAGCUAGAAAUGUGAAUUAACUAGGAUUCCGUUUAUUUCAUUUCGUUUCCGUUUGUGCGUUUGUCGUAACAAUUUCUAAUUAGCUAUUAUUAAACUUUUACGAGUU